UACGUAGGGGGCAAGCGUUACUCGGAUUCACUGGGCGUAAAGCGCGUGUAGGCGGCUGGUCAAGCGUGGUGUGAAAUCUCCGGGCUCAACCCGGAAACUGCACCGCGAACUGGCCUGGCUGGAGUGCAGGAGAGGGAAGGGGAAUUCCCGGUGUAGCGGUGAAAUGCGUAGAUAUCGGGGAGGAACACCAGUGGCGAAGGCGGCCAUCUGGAUCAACACUGACGCUGAGGCACGAAAGCGUGGGGAGCAAACAGG
This 255-nucleotide ribosomal RNA is filed under the name uncultured bacterium. RNAcentral describes it as "partial 16S ribosomal RNA". It matches the Rfam family "Bacterial small subunit ribosomal RNA", at positions 524 to 776 of the family's 1533-position model. The record is from RNAcentral.